CCAGGAGCAGCAGGGAGGAGGAGGAGGAGAACGGGAGAGAGAGGACAGGACCAGGAUCCAAAGGCGUAAAUGCAGCGAUGGGUCCCUGUUCAGCUCCCAGGGCUGUUGUCAGAGGACAGGCACUGCUGGGACACCCACCUUCUCCAGCCUCCUUUCUCAGCCUGGUCCCAGAGCUGGAGACAUUAACUGAAACUGAAAGGUUUUCAGAACAAAGACAAAGAGGUGUUUCUCAUUCUGUGCAUGACAAUGGACUCCUUGAACAACAAAGCCCAGAUGGCAGAGAGAAGAUUUCUGGGAAGUACCUCUGAUGCUCAGCCUGUUC
Gallus gallus (chicken) is the source of this 322-nucleotide long non-coding RNA. The record is from Ensembl. Lineage: Eukaryota; Metazoa; Chordata; Aves; Galliformes; Phasianidae.